CUUAGAGGUAAACGAGUGGAGCCGAAGGUGUUGGAUUGAAUUCAGUUGAUGGGAUUUUGUAUGGGAAGUAGUUGUGUUUUUAAGGGAGCAGUUACUUUUCUAUUAUAGAGUUUCAUUGAUGCAUUUUCUUUUCAACUAUACUGCGACCGAUAGUGUUGGUUUUCUGUCGUAAUUGUGAAGCUACCCGAUUUUUCGGAAUUGGAUUUAUAGCACUUUUGCAUGGUUAAUCAAUGUAUCGUUUAAUGCGGUUGGCUAAUUUUAACGGGUCUUGAUGUGGAGUGUUUUUGAAUAGACUAUAAAUAGAUUAUUUUUAAGCAUUUUAUGUCUUGGUUUGUUAAAGGGUCAAUCUAUAGUCUGCAGUCAAUAUGUAGGUUACCUACUUGUCCCGUCUUGAAACACGGACCAAGGAGUUUUAUAUGAUCGCGAGUCAAAGGGCCAUACGAAACCCCAGGGCGAAAUUAAUGUAAAGAUUCACUUUCGUGAAUUGCAAUGUGACCUUGCCGUAAAAAGCUUGAGCAACAUUGACCCGUAUAAAGAUGUUCGCAUCUGUACGGAGUUUGAGCGAUCAUGUAGAGACCCGAAAGAUGGUGAACUAUGCUUGUGCAGGUUGAAGUCAGAGGAAACCCUGAUGGAAGACCGAAGCGGUUCUGACGUGCAAAUCGAUCGUCGGACAUGAGUAUAGGGGCGAAAGACUAAUCGAACCAUCUAGUAGCUGGUUCCCUCCGAAGUUUCCCUCAGGAUAGCUGGCAUUUGUUGUCGUAGUUUUACCUGGUAAAGCGAAUGAUUAGAAGUAUUGGGGACGAAAUGUUCUCAACUUAUUCUCAAACUUUAAAUGGGUUCGAAGUGCAUCUCUCUUUAUUUGGAGAUGUACAUUGAAUACGAAUGCCUAGUGGGCCAUUUUUGGUAAGCAGAACUGGCGAUGUGGGAUGAACCAAACAUUUGGUUAAGGUGCCUAACAUCACGCUCAUGAGAACCCACAAAAGGUGUUGGUUGAUUAAGACAGCAGGACGGUGGACAUGGAAGUCGUCAUCCGCUAAGGAAUGUGUAACAACUCACCUGCCGAAUCAACCAGCCCUGAAA
This 1080-nucleotide ribosomal RNA is filed under the name Vermiviatum covidum. Its description in RNAcentral is "partial large subunit ribosomal RNA". It matches the Rfam family "Eukaryotic large subunit ribosomal RNA", at positions 408 to 1317 of the family's 3401-position model. The record is from RNAcentral. Lineage: Eukaryota; Metazoa; Platyhelminthes; Tricladida; Geoplanidae.